Lytechinus variegatus (green sea urchin) is the source of this 1982-nucleotide long non-coding RNA. RefSeq lists it as uncharacterized. The record is from RefSeq and is a predicted model, not a curated record. Lineage: Eukaryota; Metazoa; Echinodermata; Echinoidea; Temnopleuroida; Toxopneustidae. The transcript has 2 exons.
UCACUGCCGAUCGGGCUAAUUGACUGUUGACUUUGAAAGGAAAGAAAACCUAGAGAUAUUAAAUUGGUGUUGUCAGAAACUCUUCUAUUUGUAUUGUUUUUAUUCGUCAAACGUUUGACGUCCGCAGUGUACAUUUUCAGCAUGCAAGAUGCAGACACAAGCAGACUUAGUGAAGGCCUGUCCAUCUAGAUCACCCAUGACGACCAAGCCAUAGAAGAUAGCAAUAACUCCCUUUAGUCCAUGAUGAUACACUGUUGGGAGCAAGUGGUAUUCGAUGAUGACGACGAAUUCAAAGACGACCUCGACUCCACGUCAUGUCAGCACUUAAGUCAACGAUGCGACGCGGUGGAUCGAGCAGGCUGUGGAGCGCCGUGAGAUAUUAUGGACUCAUGGGGGGGGGGUAUACUGGGGACCGUUUCAUGAAAGUUGUCAGCACUGACAAGAUUCUUUCUCAAACUGUUAUCAUAGUAACAGUCAGAGGCCAGAGCUUCUCAGCCAAUCAAAAGCAAGGAUUUCACUGAAAUAGUCAGCACUGACAAUUUAGUCAGUGCUGACAACUUUCAUGAAACACCCCCGGAUAAUCAAACCUAGGUUUAAAAACUAGAAUUUGAAACCACACUUCUAAUAAUGGGCUUUAUAUUAUUUAUUCCAUAUUCGUGGCAAUAAUAAUGCAUCGAUUGAUUAAUUAAAAUUCAUAAUAUUUUUGUAUUUUCCAAUUCUUUCCAUGUUAUGACUCAACUAAUUUUUCACAAAUUUCUAAGGCAAUCUUAAUAAGAAUAAUUUUUAAUCGUUGAAUGUAUUGACAAAAUUGGCACUCAAUAAAAGUGUUAUCUUAGUUAACCCAGGUUUAAAUAAACCAUGUCUAUAAUAUCAUAAUACCAUCCUGAGAUAUGAAUUUAUAUCACCAUCGUCAUAAGCCGUGAUCAGGGCUUCCAUGAAUAAAAAAAAAUUAUAAUAAUGGUAAAGUUGUCAUUUUAUGGUAACCAAUUAUGAACUGGUAGGUUUUCGGGCUUGGGAUAGCUGGAACCCCCACCCCCCUCCCCCCAAAAAAAUCUUUAAAUAAUUUGUAUUCGAUUCUUGGUCGCAAAGUUUUCAAACUUGUGCACGACGGUGUGGAAAGUUCAACGCCCUUAUUUUUCUUUUGGCCUCAUUACGCCAAUGAUGAUCGGGAUUUGGAUUGGAUGCUGAUUUCACAAAUAUUCUGUAAACUUUAUUAUUAUUUUUUUUUUAUUAAAAAAAUAUUUUGUGCCCUUGUAGUCUGGGAAAACAAUGUAUCAUACGUAUGAUAUUACUUAAAACUGCAUAUGGGAAAUGAAAGCAUUCUUAUUAUUUGUCACCACGCAUAUAAUUUGUUUUAUUCAAAUAAUAUUUCUAAAAUUAGUGAUAUAUACCAACUUAUUCUCUCAGUGCUCAUAUUAUAUUUCAAGAAAAAUUAGUUUCACGUAACAAACAUAUUCACGCUAAAACACGAACUUUAAAAAUGGCUAAUUUCAAUGUAUAACAAUUAAGUUCAAGUUUACAUUAGAAAAAAAGACCCAAUAUUAUAUUUUCAUAUUCAUAUUUAAGUCAUUCAUAUAUUUAGAAUAAAAAAUCUAGGUCACGAUGCACAAUUUCCCUUCUAGUUUCAAUAUCCUAUGUAUUGAUAUUAUAAGAGAUACAAAGAGUUACAACUGUUGUAACUUUGCCACUAUGGCAACUACCAUGGCUACAGGGCUCGGCAACAAAUCAAAAUCAAGGUUACCAUGGUAGUUGCCAUAAUGGCAAAGUUACAACAGUUGUAACUCUUUAUGAAACGACCACCAGGCCUUUGUCUAAUUUCGCAUUGCUGUUUCUCUUUGUUUGUAAAUCAGGGUCCAGCUCUUCACGAGUUCUGCUUCUUGUUGGCCUUUGUUUUACUUUUCAAAGUUUGCUAUCGUUUCAAAACUUUUAAGAGCCUAACUACAGGAAGCACGGGAAUCUCAGAAUGUUCAGAGAGAAACAAA